Molecule: long non-coding RNA, 1825 nt
Organism: Aquila chrysaetos chrysaetos
Lineage: Eukaryota; Metazoa; Chordata; Aves; Accipitriformes; Accipitridae
Exons: 2
Source: RefSeq, a predicted model, not a curated record
GGACACAGAAUUUCACUGGUCAGAAAUCAAAGAUUAUUUUUUUUUAUUUGGAGAUUUGCAAAUUGUUCCCAGUGCAGGUGGGGACCUCUGCAUGGCAAGCAUAAACCUAUUAAAAGAAAUGCCGGCUCUGCUAUUUCAGCUGCCUUGUGAAGACCCCUUAAAAGCUUAAUCCACCGGUCCUGCCUCCUGUCCAAAAGCCCUCAGUUCACAGCCUGAAGUUCCCUGAAGCCCAUGGAUCAACCAGAAGAUGUCGAUAACGUUUGGAGGCAGGGAAAAAAAAUGUUUAGUUACAUGCCAUGUGCGCUGCGUCCGGGAGAUGGAGAUGUUGGCAAACAGCACAAGGGAGAGGACAGCAAACCAGCGGCAGGGGUGGCCCAGGAACCGAGCGGGGAGACCGAGUGCUGUGGGAGCGGGCAGAGGGUGAGAAUCAACCUGCUGGGUCAGACUCGUGCAGAGGUGGGGAAGAGAAGGCGGCUAGAGAGACACAGGGGAGAGCUUUCUGGGACCAAAACUGGGAGAAACACAAAAAAUAGACAUGUGAAUUAAACGACGGCAUUGUGAAGACCGGGGGAUGCAGGCAUGGAUCCUCAGCACUUUUUAAGGGUGGGACUAUGCGGCGUGCUGGGGCAGGCUGCCGCCCAGCAGUGGCUCGCAUGUGACUCCUGGGUGGUGACAGCAUGCACAAGCCUUGUGUUGUCCCAGACGCCAGCCUGCCAAUUUACUCAGCUGGCCAUCACCGAGCGCCUCCUCAACACGGGCCUCAAGCACCCAUGGCUGGUGGCAUCCUCUUGGCUGCUGGUGGUGCUGGGUGUCCUGGGCGGGAGUGGUGGAAGGGCACCCCUGCCCAGGCUGUGCGCCCUGGCAGGACACCUGGCUCAAAGGAGCCCGCCAGGAGGACACGCAUCCUGCUACACCAGCUGUCCUGCCUCACCUGUACCUACAGAAGCAUACCUAGGAGAUAAGCUUACGUGCAAGUGGAUCUGCCUGUGAUCUUGACAUACUGGAAAUCCACCCCUCGCUUGUCAGCCUUGUGUGGUGGUAUUUGGUUUGGCCAAGAGGUGUCUUGGUGUCAGCACGUGAACUCUAUUAUGUGUGAAAGCAUAUAAUGUCUCCACUAGUGAAAAUAUGCAUUACUAGACCCUGCCAGCGUCAUUGUGAGGGCUGUUAAAAGUGGAUGGCCAUAUAUUCAAGUGGAGCACACAUAGAUGGCUGCUGCCCUGCUAUAAAGACAGGGGACAGCUAGCAAAGAAUAACUGAGCAGAGACUGGCAUUACUGGGAAGUGUGCAGACAUCAGUGGUCCAUGGAUUUCGGUUCAGUCAUGAUACUAAACUGACCCACAGCAGUUUGCAGAGAAUUUCAGGAUUGGUGGCUGAGGAAGCGAGGAAAGGCAGGCAGCUGUCUCUGAAAUAAUGUGACUUGGAUUGCUGUGAAUCUCUGUCUCUUCUUGCACUGCUGUUGUAUAUCUGUGUAUAUCACUACGUAAACUAGUGAAAUUACAGUGAUAGAAGAGAAAGCAAAAAAAAAACCCAAACCACCCCCAAACUUCUGUUGUACUAAUUCAGAGAAAAUAAAUGACAUAGCAAGAAAGCCUUAUUGUGACUUAAAAAUGACAUUUUCCUGUUAUAAAACUCCAAUAUUAACUAUGUAGUAGGCAUGAGAAGGGAAAAAAGGCCUGAUAGAAAAUCAGAAAAGUGCCUGAAAAUCAGGGUCACUUUAGAGACUUUCGUGAUUUCCUGUAAUGUGACAUAAACCAUCUAUUGUGUUUUUGCUGGCAAAUUUGUAGCUGAGGUCAAUGUAGCAGAAAAUAAAAGUUGAGAAAACAUA